Molecule: transfer RNA, 77 nt
Filed under: Lysobacter enzymogenes
Lineage: Bacteria; Pseudomonadati; Pseudomonadota; Gammaproteobacteria; Lysobacterales; Lysobacteraceae
Description: tRNA-Ala
Rfam family: tRNA
About the family: Transfer RNA (tRNA) molecules are approximately 80 nucleotides in length.
Source: RNAcentral
GGGGCCAUAGCUCAGCUGGGAGAGCGCCUGCAUGGCAUGCAGGAGGUCGCCGGUUCGAUCCCGGCUGGCUCCACCAC